GUAGGUGGCAAGCGUUGUCCGGAAUUAUUGGGCGUAAAGCGCGCGCAGGCGGUUCUUUAAGUCUGAUGUGAAAGCCCACGGCUCAACCGUGGAGGGUCAUUGGAAACUGGAGAACUUGAGUACAGAAGAGGAAAGCGGAAUUCCACGUGUAGCGGUGAAAUGCGUAGAGGUGUGGAGGAACACCAGUGGCGAAGGCGGCUUUCUGGUCUGUAACUGACGCUGAGGCGCGAAAGCGUGGGGAGCAAACAGGAUUAGAUACCCUGGUAGUCCACGCCGUAAACGAUGAGUGCUAAGUGUUAGGGGGGUUUCCGCCCCCCUUAGUGCUGCAGCUAACGCAUUAAGCACUCCGCCUGGGAGUACGGCCGCAAGGCUG
This 373-nucleotide ribosomal RNA is filed under the name uncultured organism. RNAcentral's name for it is "partial 16S ribosomal RNA". It matches the Rfam family "Bacterial small subunit ribosomal RNA", at positions 527 to 896 of the family's 1533-position model. The record is from RNAcentral.